GGCACCCCGUGAAACAUGGUGCCGCAGGUGGUAGUGUAGAGGGAAAUUUUGGGGAAAAUGUUUUCCUUCUUUUACCUGUUAAUUUCACUUUCCCUGCAUUAUUCUUCCAUUUAUCUUUCAUAUCUGUUAUUAUUUGUCGUUUCCCUUUCCAUUUCUGUUAUUUUCAUGUUUCUCUUCUUUUAUUUGUUAACUUGAGAUAUGAAUUUACAAAAAUGAAAUAAAUAUGAAUUGAGAUAUGAGUAUGAAUUUAUUUGCCUAAUUUCUUUCUUUUCUAUGUUAAAUGGAGAUGAAUAUAAAUUUAGGAACUUUGGCAUUCUAGAGAAUCUAUGUUCAUAAAGCCUGUUCACUGAAGGGCAAUCCAAGUUGAAGAUACAUCUUCUAUGUUUAAGACUGCUGCUAAAAUAAUUGAAGAACACGACGUUGAGGUCUCUCUCCUAAAUAUUACUAUCCGCAAGAGAAAAAUGAGAUAUGGAAAAGAAAGGGAAACAAAAGAAAGGAGCUCCAUGAAAUGUUUCUGCCUAUUUUAUUUCGUAACAAUGUUUCCUGUAAUUGUUCUUGGUGUAAAAGUUCAUUGUAAUCGUGAUAUGUUAUUCGAUCAUUACUGUAUAUAUGUAUUUAUUAACAAGUUCGAACAAUAUGAAUUACCAAUAUAGAACAAUCUCUUGUAUCAAUUAAUAUGAAGUAGAUAUUGUGAUGUAUUAUUACGCUUGCAUCUAAACAUAAUCUUCGUGCCUUCGCAUUUUCAUUUGUUCUUGG
This 756-nucleotide long non-coding RNA is filed under the name Olea europaea subsp. europaea. Lineage: Eukaryota; Viridiplantae; Streptophyta; Magnoliopsida; Lamiales; Oleaceae. The record is from RNAcentral.